Molecule: ribosomal RNA, 250 nt
Filed under: uncultured bacterium
Lineage: Bacteria
Description: partial 16S ribosomal RNA
Rfam family: Bacterial small subunit ribosomal RNA
Source: RNAcentral
GACGUAGGGUGCGAGCGUUGUCCGGAUUUAUUGGGCGUAAAGAGCUCGUAGGCGGCUCGUCGCGUCGACCGUGAAAACCGCGGCUUAACUGCGGGCUUGCGGUUGAUACGGGCGGGCUAGAGUUCGGUAGGGGAGACUGGAAUUCCUGGUGUAGCGGUGAAUGCGUAGAUAUCAGGAGGAACACCGGUGGUGUAGACGGCUUCUGGACCGUAACUGACGCUGAGACACGAAAGCGUGGGUAGCAAACAGG